Molecule: ribosomal RNA, 438 nt
Filed under: uncultured bacterium
Lineage: Bacteria
Description: partial 16S ribosomal RNA
Rfam family: Bacterial small subunit ribosomal RNA
Source: RNAcentral
CUACGGGAGGCAGCAGUGAGGAAUAUUGCACAAUGGGGGGAACCCUGAUGCAGCAACGCCGCGUGGAGGAUGACGCAUUUCGGUGUGUAAACUCCUUUUAUAUGUCAAGAAAAUGACGGUAGCAUAUGAAUAAGCACCGGCUAACUCCGUGCCAGCAGCCGCGGUAAUACGGAGGGUGCAAGCGUUACUCGGAAUCACUGGGCGUAAAGGACGCGUAGGCGGGUUGGAAAGUCAGGUGUGAAAUCCUACAGCUUAACUGUAGAACUGCACUUGAAACUUCUAAUCUAGAGUAUGGGAGGGGAUAUGGAAUAAGUGGGGUAGGGAUAAACGCGGUAUAUAUCACUAGGAAUACAGAAAGCAAGGGCAAUCGCCUGAAACAUUUCUGGCGCAAGGGAGUGAAGCCGUGGGGAGCAAACGGGAUGAGAUCCCCGGGUAGUC